Molecule: ribosomal RNA, 289 nt
Filed under: uncultured Planctomycetaceae bacterium
Lineage: Bacteria; Pseudomonadati; Planctomycetota; Planctomycetia; Planctomycetales; Planctomycetaceae
Description: partial 16S ribosomal RNA
Source: RNAcentral
CUACACGGGUAUCUAAUCCCGUUUGCUCCCCUGGCUUUCGCGCCUCAGCGUCAGAAGAGAUCCAGUCCGUCGCUUUCGCCACCGGCGUUCCUUCCGAUAUCAACGCAUUUCACCGCUCCACCGGAAGUUCCACAGACCCCUACCUCCCUCUAGCUCCACAGUAUCAAAGGCACUGCGACAGUUAAGCUGCCGGAUUUCACCCCUGACUUUUGGAGCCGCCUACGCGCCCUUUAUGCCCAGUGAUUCCGAAUAACGUUUGCACGGUUCGUCUUACCGCGGCGGCUGGCAC